UUGAAGGGUCGUUCGAGACCAGGACGUUGAUAGGCUGGGUGUGGAAGUGCAGUAAUGCAUUAAGCUAACCAGUACUAAUUGCCCGUACGGCUUGUCCCU
This 99-nucleotide ribosomal RNA is filed under the name Janthinobacterium sp. SUN118. RNAcentral describes it as "partial 23S ribosomal RNA". It matches the Rfam family "Bacterial large subunit ribosomal RNA", at positions 2827 to 2925 of the family's 2925-position model. Lineage: Bacteria; Pseudomonadati; Pseudomonadota; Betaproteobacteria; Burkholderiales; Oxalobacteraceae. The record is from RNAcentral.